This 232-nucleotide ribosomal RNA is filed under the name uncultured bacterium. RNAcentral describes it as "partial 16S ribosomal RNA". It matches the Rfam family "Bacterial small subunit ribosomal RNA", at positions 99 to 334 of the family's 1533-position model. The record is from RNAcentral.
CGGACGGGUGAGUAAUGCUUGGGAAUCUGGCUUAUGGAGGGGGAUAACUACGGGAAACUGUAGCUAAUACCGCGUAGUAUCGGAAGAUGAAAGUGCGGGACCGUAAGGCCGCAUGCCACGGGAUGAGCCCAAGUGGGAUUAGGUAGUUGGUGGGGUAAAGGCCUACCAAGCCUGCGAUCUCUAGCUGGUCUGAGAGGAUGGCCAGCCACACUGGAACUGAGACACGGUCCAG